GACGACGCUGGCGGCGUGGAUUAGGCAUGCAAGUCGAACGGUAUCAUCCUUUCGGGGGUGAGAGAGUGGCGAACUGGUGAGUAACACGUAGGUUAUCUACCCUCAAGACGGGGAAACCCAGGGAAACUUGGGCUAAUACCGGAUGUGAGCAACUUUUAGUUGUUUGAAAGGUGGCGUAAGCUGUCGCUUGGGGAUGAGCCUGCGUCCUAUUAGUUAGUUGGUGAGGUAACGGCUCACCUAGGCAAUGAUAGGUAGGCGGCCUUAACGGGUGGUCGCCCACACUGGGAUUGAGAUACGGCCCAGACUCCUACGGGAGGCAGCAGUCGAGAAUAGUCUACAAUGGUCGGAAGACUGAUAGUGCGACGCCGCGUGAACGAUGAAUCCCUUCGGGGUGUAAAGUUCUUUUAUAUGUGAGCAGUGCUUCUUAUAUUAACAGUAUGGGGAGAGAGAUAUUAGCAUAUGAAUAAGCAACGGCUAACUCCGUG
Molecule: ribosomal RNA, 485 nt
Filed under: uncultured bacterium
Lineage: Bacteria
Description: bacterial SSU rRNA
Rfam family: Bacterial small subunit ribosomal RNA
Source: RNAcentral